Molecule: ribosomal RNA, 443 nt
Filed under: uncultured bacterium
Lineage: Bacteria
Description: partial 16S ribosomal RNA
Rfam family: Bacterial small subunit ribosomal RNA
Source: RNAcentral
CCUACGGGUGGCAGCAGUGGGGAAUAUUGGGCAAUGGAGGCAACUCUGACCCAGCAACGCCGCGUGAGCGAUGAAGGUCUUCGGAUUGUAAAGCUCUUUAAGCGGGGACGAAGAAAGUGACUGUACCCGCAGAAUAAGCCUCGGCUAACUACGUGCCAGCAGCCGCGGUAAUACGUAGGCGGCAAGCGUUAUCCGGAAGGACUGGGCGGAAAAGGUGCGUAGGUGGUUUGGCAAGUUGGUAGCUUAAACCCGGGGCUCAAACGCGGUUCUACUACCAAACCUGGUGAACUUGAGUGCAGGAGGGGUGAAUGGAAUUCCCAGUGUAGCGGUGGAAUGCGUAGAUAUUGGGAAGAACACCAGCGGCGAAAGCGAGUCACUGGACUGUAACUGACACUGAGGCACGAAAGCGUGGGGAGCAAACAGGAUUAGAUACCCCUGUAGUC